This 919-nucleotide ribosomal RNA is filed under the name uncultured archaeon. RNAcentral describes it as "bacterial SSU rRNA". It matches the Rfam family "Archaeal small subunit ribosomal RNA", at positions 1 to 922 of the family's 1478-position model. The record is from RNAcentral.
UUCCGGUUGAUCCUGCCGGAGGCCAUUGCUAUCGGAGUCCGAUUUAGCCAUGCUAGUCGCACGGGUUUAGACCCGUGGCAGAUAGCUCAGUAACACGUGGCCAAACUACCCUACAGAUCGUGAUAACCUCGGGAAACUGAGGCUAAUAACGAAUACAGCUCCCAGAUUUGAACAUCGGGAGCUGGAAACGUUCCGGCGCUGUAGGAUGUGGCUGCGGCCGAUUAGGUAGACGGUGGGGUAACGGCCCACCGUGCCGAUAAUCGGUACGGGUUGUGAGAGCAAGAGCCCGGAGACGGAAUCUGAGACAAGAUUCCGGGCCCUACGGGGCGCAGCAGGCGCGAAACCUUUACACUGCACGACAGUGCGAUAAGGGGACUCCGAGUGCGAGGGCAUAUAGUCCUCGCUUUUCUGUACCGUAAGGUGGUACAGGAACAAGUGCUGGGCAAGACCGGUGCCAGCCGCCGCGGUAAUACCGGCAGCACGAGUGAUGGCCGCUCUUAUUGGGCCUAAAGCGUCCGUAGCCGGCCAAGCAAGUCCGUUGGGAAAUCGACGCGCUCAACGCGUCGGCGUCCAGCGGAAACUGUUUGGCUUGGGGCCGGAAGACCUGAGGGGUACGUCCGGAGUAGGAGUGAAAUCCCGUAAUCCUGGACGGACCACCGGUGGCGAAAGCGCCUCAGGAAGACGGACCCGACGGUGAGGGACGAAAGCUAGGGUCUCGAACCGGAUUAGAUACCCGGGUAGUCCUAGCUGUAAACGAUGCUCGCUAGGUGUGGCGCAGGCUACGAGCCUGCGCUGUGCCGUAGGGAAGCCGUGAAGCGAGCCGCCUGGGAAGUACGUCUGCAAGGAUGAAACUUAAAGGAAUUGGCGGGGGAGCACUACAACCGGAGGAGCCUGCGGUUUAAUUGGAUUCAACGCCGGG